CCCAAGGUGGCGAGUGAUCUGGAGACUGUGACCUGCAGCUGAGGCAGAGAGAGGCAGGGAGAGAACAGAGCUAUGUUUGGUAAGCUGAAGGCUGCUUCCUGGCAUUUCCAGGUAGGGCUGGGAAAACAUCCUUGCCUGCGCAGAACCAUUGCUUGUCAGUGUGGAUGAGGGGUGGCGAAAUCAUCUAUGCACAGUUUCUUAUUCCCCUGCUCUUAUUCUCCCAUCCCGGCCAACAAUUAGGCUUGGGAAAAGUCUUUUCACUUUUUUUCAAGCAUAAGGGGAAGGCAUGUGAUCUUUGGAGAGUCUGACUGGGAAGGCAUUUAGACUUCAUAAAAGUGUUCCUUUUCUAGCAUUUUCUAAUCUACAUCAAGUGCUUUUGGAAGCUGGGUUCCUUGAAACACAUUUCUGUGUGUGCGAGACUUGAAAUGGGGAAACUGGGACAGUCAUUUUUAUUCCUUACUGGACCCUCAGCGGGAGACGCUGAGGGGAGCUGGCAGCCAGAACUUUCUCCUGAAACGCUUGAGAAAAACUGAGUCAGAUUUCCCUGUGGGAAGCAGGGGUAGGAUAGCUCCUGGGGAAAAUACCUUUAAGAUGCUCUUGAAUUACAUUUCACCCAGUUGUCCUACUUUCCAAAGUACCCUACUUUAUAGAGGACAGUCCUCUAUCUCAGGGGAUCUCAAGAGAGAACAGCCCUUUAUUUGGAGAUGUCUUCUGGGACUUCCCAGUCCAAAUCUGGUUUAAAUAUGUGGAGGAUAUGCAGGAGAGGCCUCGAAAAUGUCCAUCAACAUCUGGCUGGCAGAUUGUGUCAGGCACACAGGUCACGGUCUUCCCCACCAGGAUGAGAUUUUAUUUCUGUUAAAAUGAGAAGAGCAUAAAAGAGCCUGCUGGAUGAGGCCAAAGGCCCUUCUAGUCCAGAGUCCCUGUUCUCAGAGUGGCCAACCAGACGCUUGUGGGAAAUGCAAGCAGCAACACACAUGCAAGAGCACUUCCCCCUCCUGUGGCUUCCAGCAACUAGUGUACAGAAGCAUUAAUUGUCUCUGGCGGUGGAGACAGAGCAAUAGCCAUCAUGGCUUGUAGCCAGAUCCACCAGGGCCGAAUUUAGGUUUGAUGAGGCCCUAAGCUAUUGAAGGUAAUGGGGCCCUUUAUGUCCAGCUGUCCUUUGUCAGCAACAAAUCAUCGCUAUUUUUUGUGUUGAAUAUAUGUUAUAUGGUAAUUUAUGGACCUAAUAGGUAUCUAAAGCCAUUUGCACAUGUUGCCAUGCACCCAGUCCAUGCAGAAUAUAGGCACCCUAUAUUCUAUAAAGGCAAACCAGUGAUAUUUUAGGGAGCAGGCUAGCAGGAAGGGGCCAUUACUCACACCAUAGGAGCCUACACAAAACAAAACACUGUUGCUGUAUGUAGGUUUUAUUUUAUUUGUUUUUUAUCUUAAAUUUUGGAAAUGUACAUCCAGUUUUUUUCCUUUGAAUUUUUUUUGGGCCCCCAAGAGAGCGGGGCCCUAAGCUAUAGCUUGUUUAGCUUAUACGUAAAUCCAGCACUGCUAACCACCCAUGGUUUAAAAAAUCCUCUUUUUAAAGCCAUCUGAUUUGUUGGCCAUCACUGCCUCCUGGGGGCGGGAAUUCCAUAGUUUGUGAAACUGUGUGAAGAAGGACUUUAUUUUACCUGUCUUGAAUCUUACAACAUUCAGCUUCAUUGGCUGUUCGUGACUUCUAGUGUUAUGGGGGGAAAAUAAGUCUCUCUCUAUUCUCUCCAUGCCAUACAUUAUUUUAUAAACUUCACCUCUUAUUUGCUUUUUCUUUUUCUUUUUUUUAAGAGUCCCAGUUGCUGCAGCAUUUUAUCAUAGGGGAGUCGAUUCAUCCCCUUGAUCAUCUUGAUUGCACUUUUCUGAACUUUUCCCAACCAUACACAGUAUUCCAAAUGCAGCCGCACCAAAGAUUUGUAUAAUGGCAUUGUGAUAUUGGCAGUUUUAUUCUCAAUUUGCUGCCUAAUGAUGGAAUCUUUCCCUCGCAUGGAGUCUGAUAAUUAUCAUUCCUAUGCAUCCUACACACCCUCUGUUUUGAAGGCAUGUCCCUUUUAUUUAUUUUAUUCAUUUCAUAAAAGUGAUACACCCCUUGAUUGUUUACAAAGAGAAUAAAGCAAUAACAUUAUUGGUAAAAACUAAAAACAACAACAAAGGACACCUAUUUAAAACAUUUUUUUUAAAAUUAAAAUCAGCCAUAAACUAAAAAAAGAAGAAGCUUGAAAUGUUCUACGUAUCUGGGUAGGCUUGUCUACACAAAAAUAUUUUUAGCAGGUGCUGAAAAAUGUACAGUGAAAGCGCUUUUCUGAUGUCAAUAGGCAGGGAUUUCCCAAGUGUGGGUGCUGCCAAAAUCAAAGUUCACUUUAAACAGCAAGAACCUUAUGAAGGGAGGCCUAUGCUGGGAUAGUUCAGCCAGUAGAGCAUGAGACUCUUAAUCUCAGGGUCAUGGGUUUGAGACCCACGUUGCGCAAAAAUAUUCCUGCAUUGCAGGGGGUUGGACUAGAUGACCCUCAUGGUCCUUUCCAACUCUACGAUUCUAAGAUGCUCACCCACACCUGGACAGCAGACCAAACGGGCACACAGCUCACCUGGCCACUGCAAGGAGACGGGUUGUAUGUCUAUUUAAUUUGUGGUCCUAGUUUCUAAAUUUGAACCGACACAUACUGUAUAAAUGCGAAUUGUGUCAUGAACGAUGGGAGUGGAAGUUCAACGAAAACUAGAGGGCAUCGUGUUGGCUACCUCUCUUGUAGCCUUUUCUCCUAGGCCUGGGAAAUUGUUCUGCAUCUUUUCCAUCUCUAACUACGUCAUUUAUUGAGAUGGGGUUGGGGUGGGAAAACACAAAUCUGCGGGUGGUUUUCCUCCCCAGCCCGUUUCCCAAUAACCUCUCGCAUUAAGUUCUUGCUUUAAUGUUCAUUUAAAUCACAUGAAUCUGUUGUGGUGAUGGGUUGAUGCAACUUGCGAAUUUUAGCGUUGGCCAAAGGUGCCAGACUUUGCGAGCUGAUGUCUUUGCGGUGCCUGUGCAAAAAUGAAAGGGCUGCAGAGGUGAUAGCAGCCUGUAAAUAUGAGGUGUGCUGCUGCCAGUGUGCAUUUAAAAUACUUAUCGACAGUCCUUGCAGUUGGGUGAGGGAUCAGAGCCUGCAGUUACAUAUCCAGGGAAAAGGAAUAUCUCCAGGUUUGAAGGGAUGUAAGGUGGGAUCCUUGGGAGGGAUCUGUGCCGUGGAAAUGAAAGCUGGUUCACCUAGCCUUUAUUUGCUUGCUCCUCUUCCCAGAUCUUGGCUGUACUUUGGCCCAUCGGCAGCGGAAAGUUGUUAUGCCUUUGGAAAACGGCCAGCAGAGAACAGCUCUUUCCAUUUGCCCAGAGUGAACUCAUUGCCCCCAAGGUGGUCAAAGGCAUAUCAACUAUUGCUUUAUACAGCUUUAAACCUGCACUUUGAAUUGUUUGUGGAAGAGAAGGAAGGAGGAAGC
RNAcentral lists this long non-coding RNA (3480 nucleotides) under Podarcis lilfordi (Lilford's wall lizard). The stretch from base 2413 to 2485 matches the Rfam family "tRNA". Lineage: Eukaryota; Metazoa; Chordata; Lepidosauria; Squamata; Lacertidae. The record is from RNAcentral.